GGCUUCAUCCCACAUCUCUUUCCUGGCGCCCUCUCUGCAGUCCAACCUGGUUGCCUCUGAUACUGGCUCACCCACUGAGGCCAAGAGGCUCUGUAACCUCCAGUCGAACUCAUCCUCCACUUUGAGCGCUGUCCAGGGACUUGCUGGCUCCAUAUCGCUCCAUAAUAAUUCCGGUGUCUCCGAGCUGUUUCUCCUCGCACUAGGACGCCAUCCCACCGCUGCCAUCAAUGUAACGGAGCUCCCUGUACUCCGACCGAG
Pelobates cultripes (western spadefoot toad) is the source of this 258-nucleotide non-coding RNA. NCBI's taxonomy places the organism in Eukaryota, Metazoa, Chordata, Amphibia, Anura, Pelobatidae. The record is from the annotation of a GenBank genome assembly.